Molecule: ribosomal RNA, 896 nt
Filed under: Thyronectria coryli
Lineage: Eukaryota; Fungi; Ascomycota; Sordariomycetes; Hypocreales; Nectriaceae
Description: LSU rRNA
Rfam family: Eukaryotic large subunit ribosomal RNA
Source: RNAcentral
UAGCAUAUCAAUAAGCGGAGGAAAAGAAACCCACAGGGAUUGCCCUAGUAACGGCGAGUGAAGCGGCAACAGCUCAAAUUUGAAAUCUGGCCCUCGUGGUCCGAGUUGUAAUUUGUAGAGGAUGCUUUUGGUGCGGUGCCUUCCGAGUUCCCUGGAACGGGACGCCAUAGAGGGUGAGAGCCCCGUCUGGUUGGACACCAAUCCUCUGUAAAGCUCCUUCGACGAGUCGAGUAGUUUGGGAAUGCUGCUCUAAAUGGGAGGUAUAUGUCUUCUAAAGCUAAAUACUGGCCAGAGACCGAUAGCGCACAAGUAGAGUGAUCGAAAGAUGAAAAGCACUUUGAAAAGAGGGUUAAAUAGUACGUGAAAUUGUUGAAAGGGAAGCGUUUGUGACCAGACUUGGGCUUGGUUAAUCAUCCGGCGUUCUCGCCGGUGCACUUUGCCAGCCCAGGCCAGCAUCAGUUUGCUGCGGGGGAUAAAGGUUUCGGGAACGUAGCUCCUCGGAGUGUUAUAGCCCGUUGCGUAAUACCCUGUGGUGGACUGAGGUUCGCGCAUCUGCAAGGAUGCUGGCGUAAUGGUCAUCAACGACCCGUCUUGAAACACGGACCAAGGAGUCGUCUUUGUAUGCGAGUGUUCGGGUGUCAAACCCCUACGCGUAAUGAAAGUGAACGGAGGUGGGAGCCUCGGCGCACCAUCGACCGAUCCUGAUGUUUUUGGAUGGAUUUGAGUAAGAGCAUACGGGGCCGGACCCGAAAGAAGGUGAACUAUGCCUGUAUAGGGUGAAGCCAGAGGAAACUCUGGUGGAGGCUCGCAGCGGUUUUGACGUGCAAAUCGAUCGUCAAAUAUGGGCAUGGGGGCGAAAGACUAAUCGAACCUUCUAGUAGCUGGUUUCCGCCGAA